GACGAACGCUGGCGGCGUGCUUAACACAUGCAAGUCGAACGGAAAGGCCCUGCUCUUGUGGGGGGCUCGGGUGGCGAACGGGAGAGUAAAGCGUGAGUAACCUAACCUUGACUUUGGGAUAACUUAAGGAAACUGGGGCUAGUCCCGGAUAGGAGCUCCUGCUGCAUGGGGGUGGUUGGAAAGUGUCGGGGGUUGGGUAUGGGCUCGCGGCUUAUCAGCCUGUUGGUGGGGUAGUGGCUGACAAGGGCUUUCACGGGUAGCCGGCCUGAGAGGGUGACAGGCCACAUUGGGACUGAGAUACGGCCCAGAAGCCUACGGGAGUGAGCAGUGGGGAAUAUUGCACUAUGGGGGGAAGGCUGAUGCAGUAAAGCCGCGUGCGUGAUGAAGGCCUUUGGGUUGUAAAGCGCUUUCGCCUGUGAUGAAGCGUGAGUGACGGUAAUGGGUAAAGAAGCACCGGCUAACUACGUG
RNAcentral lists this ribosomal RNA (468 nucleotides) under uncultured bacterium. RNAcentral describes it as "partial 16S ribosomal RNA". It matches the Rfam family "Bacterial small subunit ribosomal RNA", at positions 28 to 507 of the family's 1533-position model. The record is from RNAcentral.